RNAcentral lists this ribosomal RNA (352 nucleotides) under Cylindrotheca closterium. Its description in RNAcentral is "SSU rRNA". It matches the Rfam family "Eukaryotic small subunit ribosomal RNA", at positions 44 to 402 of the family's 1831-position model. The record is from RNAcentral. Lineage: Eukaryota; Bacillariophyta; Bacillariophyceae; Bacillariales; Bacillariaceae.
CCAAAUUUAAGCCCAUGCAUGUCUAAGUAUAAAUCUCUUACUUUGAAACUGCGAACGGCUCAUUAUAUCAGUUAUAGUUUAUUUGAUAGUCCCUUACUACUUGGAUAACCGUAGUAAUUCUAGAGCUAAUACAUGCGUCAAUACCCUUCUGGGGUAGUAUUUAUUAGAUUGAAACCAACCCCUUCGGGGUGAUGUGGUGAUUCAUAAUAAGCUUGCGGAUCGCAUGCCUCACGGCGGCGAUGGAUCAUUCAAGUUUCUGCCCUAUCAGCUUUGGAUGGUAGGGUAUUGGCCUACCAUGGCUUUAACGGGUAACGGGAAAUUAGGGUUUGAUUCCGGAGAGGGAGCCUGAGAA